Molecule: long non-coding RNA, 12395 nt
Filed under: Triticum aestivum (bread wheat)
Lineage: Eukaryota; Viridiplantae; Streptophyta; Magnoliopsida; Poales; Poaceae
Description: long non-coding RNA (TAES_LNC025103)
Source: RNAcentral
GAAAUGCAGGCAGCCGCCAUCCAUGUUACCCAAAUGGAGACGCAAACUUGGCCGCGCCAUCCUUGAGUCCAUGCUUCUACAUAGGCCUACUACAUCUUACACCUUCAUUCCAUUCUUUCUAGUGUACUUAUUAGCUCUUGAAUCGUUGGACUUGUAACACCGGAUGGAGUUUGGAGACAGUAUCUUCUUCUAGUUGUGUAUCUUGAAUGGUUAUAUGUUACGAUUUGCAGCUGUUGCUUUUCUUCCCUAAAUUUAAGGCGAUUUCUACUUUUACUUGACCAAAAUGUUCGGUUCUUCAAAAUAUUAUCUGACAGUAUGCUUAUCUUUGUGGUAAAAAAGGUCCUGGUUAUAGUUUUCAAGGUGACUUGUUGAUUGUUGAAGGCAGCAUUAGGAAUGUGCACAACAUGACAAGUUAAUUGCCAACAUUAAAUCAGUUGGGGCAUGUUUGGUUGCCUGCAUCUUUUGUCUCAGUGGGCCAGGUUGAGUUGCCUGUAUUUGUGCUAUUGGUAUGCAAAGCAGAGCUGUUUUGCUCAUCCCGUGGUGGUCUUACACACAAAUGCAGCACUUCAUAUCAUACAUAACAUAAGAACAACAUAAUACAAUUAACAGUACAAAUAAAAACAAUAGCUAAAUAGUUCAGAAUAGCUAAUUAGACCAUAGUUUAAGACAUCAAAGGCAUCCCAUGCCCCUGCACGACCCUAGGGUGUUGAACCCUGAGCAAAAUAUAUAGUUUUGCACUAAGUUGAGCAAAAUAUACAGUUUUGCAGUAAGUUCAGACGAUCAAGCCUAGCCCGGAGAGCCACAUGACGAGCAAGUCGCUGUGGAUGAUUGUGUGGCGCCGACAGAAGUAGUCUCAACUGCUCCCGAGCACCAUCUGCCCCUGAAAUGUAUGGCCCUACACCUAGAACUCACACCACUUGUUGGCAGAGGCUGACAACACCAGGAGGGUUGACGACUGCCAUUUCUUUAUCACCGUCCUAAAGGCAGGCGGGAUGACCAGCAUGGUGAUCUCUUCCUCGUUCUUGAUUUGCACGUAGAACCCGACUGACGUCCGUGUAUAUAGAGUAAAUUGCUCAAAGCCACUACAUUUGUGGCUAGAGUACUCUAAAACCACCACUUUUGCCAGAAAUCACAAAAAACCACCACUUCCGCGGCAAGUGAGUAACAAAUCACACUGAUUUGGAAUUGAACGCAUCUAACAGCAAAACUGACAUGUGGGACCCGUCUAUCCGGGCUGAUGUGGCAAAGACUAGUCCUAGUCAAUGGUUGACCUGCUAAGGUGGACGGGGGUCCUACCUGUCAGCCGCACCUAUUGUCUUCUCUCUCCUCUCCUUCUUCUCGAUAAAGCGGAAUCCCAGCCGCCACGCCAUGGCCGGCGCAGAGAGAAGCAGGCCGCGCCCGCCUAGCUCCCCUCCUUCUCCUAAUCCAGCGGAAGGCGCCCGCCGGUGCCGGAGCUCUACGCCGCCGGUGGCGCCACGCCCUGCCUCCCCCAUUUCUCCUAGAUCCGGUGGGAUCCCAGCGCCGGCAAGCCAAGGUCGGGCGAACUCCUCCUAGCCUCGACGCCCCGCCCCGCUACGACAGCCACUGCUGCUGGCCAUGGCCAGAGGCGAGCUCCUUCCCCUCACGCCACAGGCAACCUCUCCCAUCCUUGUCUUCCUCGCGAGCGCUGGCACGAGAGCCACGGGAGCCAGAGGCGGGGAAGAUGUGCUGCUCGCCAUGGCAACGCUGGUGGCGGCGACGCACCGGGAACCCCAAGGCGCGGCUAGCGGACUUCUUCGCAGGCUUCGGCUCCGGCGGCGUGCUGGUGGCGCGCGACACCGACGACGCGCGUCGACUCUCUCCCUGUCUUCCUCGCGAGCGCCGACACGAGAGCCACAUGAGCCAGGGCGGGGAAGGUGUGCUGCUCACCGUGGCAACGCUGCUGGCGGCGGCGCACCGGGAACCCCUAGGCGCAACUAGCGGACUUCUUCGCAGCCUCCGGCGUGCUGGUGGCCACGGCACCGACGACGCACGUCGACUCUUCUCCGCGGAGGACGCGCUAGUGAGUGGGGAGGCCUGGUGAGAGGGGACCGGCUCGCCGUGCGCAGAGGAGGGGCGGAGCUCGUCGAGGUGCGGACGGAGGGGCAACAUCGCCGGAGAAGUGCUGGACCGACGGAGUAGGUGUUGUGCGUGCACAUGAAGUACUCGACGAAAUGCCAGAGCCUAGUCACCUGUCUACGUGUUUAUUCUUUGCCAAGUCAGCCUGCAUGUGGGCCAGGCAUGUCAGUUUUUCACUUAGUCACGGCUGACAGCUCGUUUAGUGCAUUUUGUUACUCACUUGCCGCGGAAGUGGUGGUUUUUUGUGAUUUCUGACAAAAGUGGUGGUUUUGGAGUACCCUAGUCACAAAUGUGGUGGCUUUCAGCAAUUUACUUGUGUAUAUACGGUUCAAAUCUCGUUUUUAUACAUCCAUCCAUACGCUGAUGAGGCAUGCUAGGGUGUCAGGGACAAGGCGUGUGGCCUGCUUUUGUUUUGCGGAAAACCCCCCAAAAUAGUUGUUUUCUUAUAAAAAAGGCCCUCAAAGAAAAACUAAUAAAUUGUAAAAUUAACUAUUAAUCAAUUUAUAAUAUCUAAAAAUAGUCCGGGGUUCGAACCAGCGACAGAGGUGUGCGUGGCUAGCCAGCUGACCGGUUCAAAUUUGAAGGUGUUUGGUUCGCAAUUUUACACCCGGUAUCUGAUUACAUCGCAAACCGAUACCGUUAAUCGUGUUUGCUUCGCUUUGCAGAUCCCACAUAGACACGUCCCAUCACAGUUUACGUUACAGCCAGAGCGAGCCGACUCGGGCGAAUUCUUCUGGCUUCGAUCCCCAAUCCCGGCCCAGUCCCGUGCUAGCUGCCUAGACGUGGGGUUCCUGUUUGUUUCAUUUCUUUUUACGCUGGGGCUCUCAUUUUCUUGCCGGUAUCCAUUACCGUUAGACACUUAACCAAACAAGAAUGGAUUUUGGCCGAUAUCGUUUACAUCAACGGAGUAAACCCAUUACGUUUACGUUUCCGUUCCACUUCUGGAACCAGACACCUUAGUGUUAAGAAAGGAUUCGUAUGAUCCUAAAAAAAAGGAAUCGUAUACUUUGUAAACAUAAAGCUGAACGACAUAAACUAAACUUUUUUAUUCGCAGCCGCCCAUACUACUCCGACCGACAACAUCAGAUGGCAAAAUGAUAGAUUUAGGUUUAUGACAUAACGAGCCCUUCCUGAAGGCGUUGCUGUUGAAGAAUCCCGUCAUUCGCGCGGUGCCAUGACAUAGUUGAUGCGGAUAUGGUCAUUGUUGUAGUCUACCUAUUAUGGAUUUGGUCGCUCAGAUUUUUUUUCUUCAUCGUCUACGCGUGGCUUUGGUCUUAUAUGACUUUGCUAUUUGCUGACGUGAUGUUGUGUGCGUGCGUUAGUGUUGGCUGUGUGCAUCCUAGCUAUGCAGAGGCCGGGUGUGCUCAUUAUGUUUGUAUCCUCUUGAUGCCUCAUUUUAAGCUAAUAAAAUACAUUCUUUGUCGAGAAAAAUGACAUAACGAGCCCGUGUGGCUAAAACGGACCACAGUGUGGCUCAGUUUUGAACGUGUUUGUUUUUUUCAUUUCAUUUUUAAAAUAUAUUAAUUAUAAUUGUGUGUUACAAACAAUAUACAAUAUUUAAAACAAAUUACGUUAAAAUGUUUAUACUAUUUCAUAAAAUACAUAUGCAAUAUUUUAACAGAAAUAUACAUAAUAAAAUUAUGAGUUAAGAAUAUAUUUUAUAAUUUGAAAAAAAUGUUUGCAUUUUAAUAAAAUAUUAAUGUAAUUUUAGAAAUGUUCAUAUAUUUUAAAAAAUUCUCAUAUAAUUUUGAAAUUUCCACAUUAUUAAUAAAUUAUUUAUGUAGUCUAUCAGUGUGUUCAUGCUUUAAUUAAAAAGGUGUUAUUUUAAAAGGUUUAUAUAGUAUAUAAGUUUGUGCGUUUCUAUAAAAAAUAAAUGCAAGCCUAGUGCGCCAUUAGACUGCGUAUCCUCACAUGAAUAAUAGUUGAAUCAUCUAAACAUUUUGAUCUUCAUAAAUAGUUUCAAUUGUAUGAAUAUAUUUUAAAAUAACACAUGAUUUUAUUUCAGGAUACACGUGAAUUCUUUUGAUACAUGACAAUUCAUUGGUUGGAGUGACAUCCGUGCCUGGUCUACAAGCUUUGGUCCGAUGUGCAGAUCACAGAGCCGGUGCUGUUUUUGCUGGAUUAUUAAAUUCCUUUUAUUUAUUUUGUUCGGUCCAAUGUUUAUAAAGGUUAUAAAUCAUUAAAUAUUAGCAAAUGUGAAGUUGUCGAGCACACGCUCUGGACUGGUAGGUUGCAGGCUCGAGCCACCACAUGACAAGUUUUAGUUUUUAUUUUAUAGUUUAUCAGUUUCUCCCCGAGGGCCUUCUUGUAAGAAAAAUAAUUUUGGGAGUUUUCCGCAAAAACCAAGCCAAACACCCUUGUCUCUGGCAGCGGGUCCCAUGGCAUGCUGGCACGCCUCGUAAGUAUACAAACAUCAUUUAAACCAAAUAUGCACGUCUAUGCCAAGUUAUGAAACCGGUUCAAUGUAUUUUUCAAGGCACUAGAAUGCAUAUUCAUGACAAGUUCAAGCACCACAGAUGUAUUUACCUCGGAAAGUAAUAAAAAACACACACAAGAAAAUCAGAAAAAAAAACCCCGGGCCAAAACUAGAACAGCCAGCGAGAUUUCCAGAAUGGUCAAAAACUUAGUCUGGCCACGGAUUACUUUAAGGGAAUCUUGGGUCAGCCUGCCCCCUCGAUGAACACAGUGGACGUACACUCACUAUACACUUCACUUGAUCUAUCUGCCCUGACGGUACGGUUUUCUUGGGCUGAAAUCAUACAAGCCAUCAGCUGCUCACCCAAUAACAGAAGUCCAGGCCCUGACGGUUUCACCAAUGAGUUUUACAAGGCUUUCAAGUUGCUGCUAAAGGAUGACCUGCUCCACUUUUUUUAUGAUUUCCACAGAAAUGUGGUUGAUCUUACUGGUAUUAACUCCGCUUUCAUCACCCUGCUACCUAAAAAGAUACGCCCCUAGAGAUGCGGGACUUCAGGCCGAUUUCCCUCGUACAUAGCAUACCCAAACUGGUUUCUAAGGUUCUGGCUUGUAGGCUGAAAGCAUGGAUUCCUCUCUUGAUUCACUCUCUCCAGUCUGGCUUCUUGCGGGGCAGAUCGAUUAUAGAAAACUUUACCCUGGCUGCCGAAAUGAUCCAAUACGCACACAAACGGAAAAUGCUAGUCAUUGCUUUGAAGUUGGAUUUUCACAAAGCUUUUGACAGCGUCAGUUGGUCCUGUUUGCACAAAGUACUUGAAGCCAGAGGGUUUUCUCGGCUGUGGAUUAGUUGGAUUCAAAUGCUUUUGUCAACCGGCAGCUCUAAAGUCCUUAUUAAUGGCCAGCUGGGUGCCCCCAUCCGGGCUAAGCGUGGUUUUCGGCAAGGCGAUUCCUUAUCCCCUUAUCUUUUCAUUAUCGUUGCGGACGUGCUACAGAGAAUGUGCUGCAAAUUGUUCCAAGAUGGUUCCUUGCUGCACCCACUUGGUUCAGACAGUUUCUUCCCGGUUCUGCAAUACGCGGAUGACAUGCUGAUUCUUUUCCAAGGCACUACGCACCAGGCGGCAGUUGUUAAGUCAGCGCUCACAACUUUCUCUGCUUUCUCUGGGCUCACCAUAAAUUUCCACAAGAGCACUCUCGUACCUGUUGCCGCGGAGACCAUCACUGCUUCGGCCAUCGCGCAGAUCCUAGGCUGCCCCGUUUCAUCCUUUCCAUGCAACUACCUGGGCCUGCCUCUCUCUCUGCACAAGAUUACGCAUGGUAUGUUACUGCCUGUUAUACACAAGGUCGACCGUCGUCUUUCGGGCUGGUUAGCUACUUUCCUAUCCUUAGGGGGUAGAUUGACCCUUAUCAACUCAGUGAUCGUUGGUAUCCCAAGUUAUUUCAUGUCAUGCUUUCCCUGGCCCAAGGAAUCUCUUGGAAAAUUGGAAAGUCUCUCACGUGCUUUUUUCUGGCAAGGCAAGAAUAAGGUCAAGGGGGGUCAAUGCUUAGUAGCUUGGGAUACAGUCUCGUCACCUCGUAUCAAUGGCGGUUUGGGUAUCCGUCAGCUGCAGGCUCACAACCAAGCUAUGAUGUGCAAGUCUGUCUCCAAAGUUAUACAAGGUUCGGACAUACCAUGUUAUAACUGGUUCGCCACACAUUAUUGCCGGGCUAUCCUUCCACAAAGUGCUAGUAGCAGAGACACUGCCAUCUGGAAAGGGUUCAAAGAUCUUGUUCCUAUGGUCAUCAACUCCUCUAAAUGUGUUCUGGGGUCUGGUCUUUUGAUUUCAUUCUGGAAGGACCAGUGGCUUGAAGCGGGGCGUUUAUACCAGUUGUUCCCCAUGCUGUAUUCCUUCGCGAUCCAGCCAGAUUUCUCCGUGCACUCACAACACUCCAACGGUUCAUGGGCUAUUCAGCUACACCCUAAUCUCUCUCAAACAGCCUCAGCCGAGCUUGCUGUCCUGCAUGAUUUGUUGCUGGGCAUUGCUCCGAACUUACUGCAUGAGGACCAACGGACUGCUUCUGUGAGCUCUGGACAACUUUGCACUGGUUAUUUCUACAGGCUACUCACUUUCCGGGGGGUUUUGUCAACUCUUGGCACCUGGGUUUGGGAGGCAAUGACCCCCCUCAAGCACAGAAUCUUCCUAUGGCUUUCUUUCCGUGAUCGUCUAAACACUAAGGAUAACAUGGUAAAGAAGGGUUGGUCCGAGGCUUCCCCGUUUGCGCAUUGUGACACUUGCCCCGCUGUUGAGACCAUCGAUCACUUAAUACUACGAUGUGCAUCCGCCAGUGUUCUUUGGGGCAAGUUGGAACUUGACGUUUUGGCUUGCUCAACUACUAACGUUCUAUCUUUUAUGGAGCAAGCGCAACACCAGCUCAGUUUCAAGAAAAAUGGAAUGUUGCUUUCACGGCUUGUGCUGUCACCUUUUGGCAUGCUAGGAAUGACAGAGUCUUCAACUCAAAAGACUGGUCUGUAACAUACACCUGUUUAUAUGCAGCAGGCAUGCUCCGUCUUUGGAGUCUCAGAACUCAAAGCCAGCGUACCAGGGAGGUUCUCCAGGUUUGGAGACACAAGCUGCUGCAUAAUUCGUAGACGCCUGAUGUAAUCUUCCCCUCCUCUCUUCCUCCCUCCCUUCUUUCCCUUUUUUCGAUGCUUGUGCUUUGCACCUUGGUGCACCACACAAGCUGCACUUGUACUUGUACCUGCUACUUCAUCAGGCUCUGGCCUGUUUUGAAAUAUAAGGUCGGCAGCCUGCCACCUUCUUUGUUUUAAAAAAAAGAACAGCCAGCGAGCGAAUCAUCAAUCACGAAGCGAGCCAGAAGAAGCAUGUGCCUCGGAUCGUGGGGAGCGCCGCAACCUUUCCGUCGCUCGAAACUGCGUGCUCUGCAGUAACUCCAGGGAAAUGGCUGGCCAUCUUGCAGUUGGCUACCAUUUCUCUCGUGAAGUUUGGUGGCCACGCUGAGGCGUUGCGGUCUUGCUCACCACACAGACACCGACCAUUUACACGUUGUGUGCCUGGUGGCCUCACACUCGGAAUGUACUCUCCAAACCGGCAUGCAAAAGAUUCGACAUCCUGGCACUGCUCACCCUCUGGAAACUAUGGACUUUCAAUGGCGCCCCGAGCACCACUAGGCAGGUCUACGCCGUCAUCGCAAUGGAGGGCGACUUAUGGAAGAAGGCAGCACCGCUGCUGGGUUGCAAGCUAUUUGGAAACAGUGGCGUGUGUGUAGAUUGGUAGGCAUAGUUUAAAUUCGAAAGAUGCGGGACCAAACUCUUCUAUCUGGUGUAACUCACGGUGCCAACUCUCGUCCAAUUAACAAGAUACUAUAUUGAAUCCUUCAAAGAAAACACAAGAUAUAUUGAAACCUACCGACUGCAUGUGAAGCUAGUAAAUACAUUAAUUGGAGCUAGCUUUUGGACCAUACUCAUGUGUGGUGUGCGGCUAUAUAUUGCACACACAUAUAUGUGAAAUUCAUAAUUUAGUUGUGCUAGCAACAAAAGUAGAAGGGAUAUAUCAGGGUCAAUAUACAAUAGUUCAAUCUACUGGGUGUGCAACCACUACGGUAUUAGAGAUUGGUCAUUUAGCUAUACUCGCAGUGACCAUACACAUUGGAAAAGGAGACAUCUGGAAAUGAGGGGAAACAAUAUGCUUAGAACUAGAUCGAAGAUAUCUAUGGCGUCGAGCACCCUACAUGGUAGGACACCAUAUAGGACACCAUGUAGUCUGUUGCCUCAAGCUUUCUUUUGUUUUGAAAGAUCCAUCUGGUGCCUGGCUUUAUAUUGAUCAAAGCAGGGAGCAUAUGGGAAGAGUACAAAGGUGUAUUGUGAUCCAAGGAUCAAUGAGAAAAUAAAAAAAAGAGGCGCCACUAGGCAACCCUUCCAGCUCCUAACAAGCUUGCCAUGAUACUACUAAGUCUUGGCUAAAUUCUCGCACUUUCAUCCCCAAAAGGGGGCUCAAUGAAUUUUACACUCGCCUGGCACCAGAGUUCAAAAUUGCGUCUGACAACUAUAAUGCCGCUCACCGAAGCAAUCUUGGCUCGGAAAGUGCACUCAUUUCUUUCUUGCCAGAUCCUCCAAAGUAUUAGCAGCGCUAGGUCUUCGGCGGCUUUUUGAACUUUGAUUGGGCCGCGUUGAUCAAACACACUCAAAAUCAUAGUCUUUACUAUCAAACACAUGCGAACUGGCUGGGAUUUAUGAAAAAGCCCUCUCGACUACCGUUGCUUAUGAAGCUGCUUUUUCCUCAACGUCAGACGAUCUGUUUUCAUUAUUUGAAAAUAAUAAUAAUUUGCGCCUAGCUGGUGUUGAAUGUUUCUUUUGCUGGCACGCAAGCAGAGGAUAUUCACCAACCGCCUCCACCGAAGCUUGUCUGUGUUGUAAAGAAGCCGAAUCAAAAGCUCAUCUUCUCAUACAUUGCUCAGUUCCUAGGGUGAUGUGGACGAUUAUUGACUCUCUCAACAUUACUCCGGACGACUACACCUCCUUAACUCCUUUCAUGUUGAGUCAUCUCCGAGCCGGCAAAUAAAGUAAGGAACGCAGUAAUUAUGGCUCGCUUAUUGAAUAUCUAGAAGUGCCGGAGCGCACAAGUUUUCAGGAACUAGAAUGAAGACCUUCAAGUUGUCAUCUCUAGGUCUGCAAAUGAUAUUUUUCGUUGGUCAAACAGAUGUGAAAAUGAAUCCAAUCCAAAAGGCGAAUAGUCUAUGACAAUUGACAAAGACUUAAUGUGUGUGUCUUUGUUUCUGGAGUAGUUUGGGUAGCUUUGUUCUUAUCUCCCCGCUUCUUUGUAUAUGGCAGUGACGGUGUCAAAACCGGCGGAUCUCGGGUAGGGGGUCCCAAACUAUGCGUCUAAGGUCAAUGGUAACAGGAGACAGGGGACACAAUGUUUUAGCCAGGUUCGGGCCCUCUCUAUGGAGGUAAUACCCUACGUCCUGCUUGAUUGAUCUUGAUGAAUAUGAGUAUUACAAGAGUUGAUCUAUCACGAGAUCAUAAUGGCUAAACCCUAGAGGCCUAGGUUGUAUGGUUAUGAUAAUGUAUAUCUCCCUCCGGACUAAGUCCUCCGGUUUAUAUAGACACCGGGAGGAUCUAGGGUUAGACAAGGUCGGUUACAAAGAAAGGAAUCUACAUAUUUGGUCGCCAAGCUUGCCUUCCACGUCAAGGAGAGUCCCAUCCGGACACGGGUGCCAUCUUCGGUCUUCGUAUAUUCACAGCCCAUCAGUCCGGCCCAUGGCUAACAGGCCGGACGCCCGAUGACCCCUUAGUCCAGGACUCCCUCAGUACCCCCUGAACCUAGCUUCAAUGACAACGUAUCCGUCGCGUAGAUCUGUCUUCGGCAUUGCAAGGCGGGUUCCUUCCUCCGAACUCCAAGAUAGUCUUCGGACGUAUUUGAACGUGUCCGGACCUUUGUAUUGAUCUUAUAUUUAUUGACCUUUGUAUUGCUGCUCAAUGUUCUAAGCAUGGAUAUAAUGACUCUCUCAUUUUGUUAUUAUUGCCAUGUAAAUGUUGUCAUUACUUGUUUAUUUGGUAUAGUAAGUACAUUUGAUUGAGACUAAUAUCCUGUUACUUGACAUGGCAGUGACUAUCUCUUUAAGCUUCUGCUCAUCGGAGACUCAGGUGUUGGCAAGUCAUGCCUUCUCUUAAGAUUUGCCGUAAGAAUCCCUAUCUAAAGCAUGAUUUGUCCACUAUCUUUUAUAGGUCUUCCCUUUUUUAAUAUGCAUCUUCAUCUUAAAAGUUUGAUACAAGUUGUCUUCGGGAUAUCAUGGAAACUGUCAAUUUAUUUUUAGCCUCAGUAAACUGUAUGAUUUCCCACUACUUAAUACGAAUGAGGAGUUCAUUGUUGGUAGCUACUGUUUCUUAACAACAUGGAGAUGACCCCUAUAACAUUCUUGUUGUUACUAGUUAAUUUACUCUGACCUCCUUAAUAUUGACUCUUUUGGCAGGAUGACUCGUACCUGGAGAGUUAUAUCAGUACUAUUGGUGUUGAUUUCGUAAGUAUAUUUACUUUCUUGGUCUGAGUGUUGAUGUUCUGGCUACCUUAAUUGAACUUGUAGUUUUGUUUUCUUCCAACUUUGUCGAUAGAAAAUACGUACCGUGGAGCAAGAUGGAAAGACUAUGAAGCUGCAAAUCGUGAGUCUAUUCUUUCUUUCAUUAUGUCCAGUAUGCAUGUACCAUCAAAUCCAGAUUGUACAUCGAAUCCAGAUUUGACAAAAUAGAAGACUUUAUCGGGAAACAUUUCAUUUAUAGCCCUCUUCUGUUUUGUGGAGUUUGCUAGAUUUUCCCUUUGCAUAAUAUAGCAUGCCGUUAUUCAUCAGUAUUUAUGUGGUUGUUAGUUGAGGCCAGUUCACAGGAAACAGAAACUCCACUAUGCCUGAAUAUGUAGGCAGUUGCACAACCCCUUUUUACCUUUUGGAUUUUUUAGUUCCAUCCAUUUAAAUUACUGUUGAACAUAAAGAAUAAGAGUAGUUUAGCCCAUUAAAUUAAAUGUUAUAAAGUUUCUUAGUUCGCAUAAAGAAUCGCACUUUCAAGAUGUUUUUAGAUACCAAAGUGAUGCCCAUUUUGAACAUCAUAUUUAGGGGCCUGAUAGUAUGUCAUUUAAAUACUUGGGUGGUACGGUAGAUCAUGCUGCACCUACUGUUGGCAUUUGGCGAUUCUUCCUUCCUUUUGUGUGACACAUUACAUUUAGUGAUGCAAGAUAUCAUUUUCCUUUUCUUUAAACCCCUCUUUGGUACCUUUGUUUUUAUCAGUGGGACACUGCUGGGCAAGAACGCUUCAGAACUAUUACUAGCAGCUACUAUCGAGGGGCUCACGGGAUCAUUGUAAGUUUGUUUAUGUGAAAUCUUAUUUUUAUUUUUCACAUGCUAUUUAACAUGCAUAAAUGUCCACUUUUCAUAUAUUUUGAAUACAUAUAUACAAAUGGGGUUGCAGAUUGUCUAUGACGUGACAGACCAGGACAGCUUCAACAAUGUGAAGCAGUGGUUGAACGAGAUUGGUCACUAUGCUAGUGAGAAUGUUAAACAAGCUUCUUAUAGGGAACAAAUCUGAUCUCACUGACAAAAGAGUUGUAUCAUAUGAGACAGCGAAGGUACCUUAUGCUUUACUCAUAUCUGCUGAAGCAUUUUUUCUGCUCUUUGUGUUUACAUUUGGUGUAUGCAGGCAUUUGCUGAUGAGAUUGGCAUCCCAUUCAUGGAGACCAGUGCAAAGAAUGCCUUGAACGUUGAGCAGGCUUUCAUGGCUAUGUCUGCUUCAAUCAAGGACAGGUGUGUGUUCCCAGACGGUUUAAUUAGCACAGGCCAUCCUACCAGUACACUUUUUUUUAACUACCAUCAUUUUACACUUUAUUUAUUGCUCAUUGAUGCUCUGUUCGUAUAGUAUCAUAACCAAAAUUGUCCUACACUCUUUAGCAUGUUGCUGUUAACUGUUCUAUGUUAUUCCUCACGGUGUUGUUCUAUAUACACCUCAUAGAAAGAGCAUAUAAUUAUGAAUACAAAUCUUGGUUUCCAGGAUGGCGAGCCAGCCAGCCGCAAACAACACUCGCCCAGCCACGGUGCAGAUACGCGGGCAACCUGUCGAACAGAAGACGAGCUGCUGCUCUUCUUGAAAUGCAGGCAGCCGCCAUCCGUGUUACCCAAAUGGAGACGCAAACUUGGCCGCGCCAUCCUUGAGUCCAUGCUUCUACAUAGGCCUACUACAUCUUACACCUUCAUUCCAUUCUUUCUAGUGUACUUAUUAGCUCUUGAAUCGUUGGACUUGUAACACCGGAUGGAGUUUGGAGACAGUAUCUUCUUCUAGUUGUGUAUCUUGAAUGGUUAUAUGUUACGAUUUGCAGCUGUUGCUUUUCUUCCCUAAAUUUAAGGCGAUU